GACUACGGGAGGCUGCAGUAGGGAAUCUUCCGCAAUGGACGAAAGUCUGACGGAGCAACGCCGCGUGAAGGAAGAAGGCUUUCGGGUUGUAAACUUCUUUGAUCGGGGACGAAGAUGACGGUACCCGAGGAACAAGCCACGGCUAACUACGUGCCAGCAGCCGCGGUAAUACGUAGGUGGCAAGCGUUGUCCGGAAUUACUGGGUGUAAAGGGCGUGUAGGCGGGAGGACAAGUCAGAUGUGAAAGCCCAUGGCUUAACUGUGGAAUUGCAUCUGAAACUGUUUUUCUUGAGUGCUGGAGAGGAAAGUGGAAUUCCUAGUGUAGCGGUGAAAUGCGUAGAGAUUAGGAGGAACACCAGUGGCGAAGGCGGCUUUCUGGACAGUAACUGACGCUGAGGCGCGAAAGCGUGGGGAGCAAACAGGAUUAGAUACCCUGGUAGUC
Molecule: ribosomal RNA, 441 nt
Filed under: uncultured bacterium
Lineage: Bacteria
Description: bacterial SSU rRNA
Rfam family: Bacterial small subunit ribosomal RNA
Source: RNAcentral